ACAGUUGCCAGCUCGUCCUCCCGGGGAUGGUGGGGACACUGUUGGGACCGCCUCUGCUAAAGAGGAGGAAGGAAUGGGCAACGGUAGGUCAGCAUGCCCCGAAUUAUCUGGGCUACACGCGGGCUACAAUGGGUGGGACAAUGGGUAUCGACACCGAGAGGUGAAGGCAAUCUCCUAAACCCAUCCGUAGUUCGGAUUGUGGGCUGCAACUCGCCCACAUGAAGCUGGAAUCUGUAGUAAUCGUGUCUCAAAAUGGCACGGUGAAUAUGUCCCUGCUCCUU
Molecule: ribosomal RNA, 281 nt
Filed under: uncultured Methanomicrobiales archaeon
Lineage: Archaea; Methanobacteriati; Methanobacteriota; Methanomicrobia; Methanomicrobiales
Description: partial 16S ribosomal RNA
Rfam family: Archaeal small subunit ribosomal RNA
Source: RNAcentral